Molecule: long non-coding RNA, 1411 nt
Filed under: Coturnix japonica (Japanese quail)
Lineage: Eukaryota; Metazoa; Chordata; Aves; Galliformes; Phasianidae
Description: lncRNA (ENSCJPG00005010089.1)
Source: RNAcentral
GUACAAUGAUCCCAGGUGAAGGCCAGUAACAAGUGGAAUGCUGCAAUAAUCUAGUAUUGUUCAAUAUUUUCAUCAGUUAUUUGGAUAAUGAGAUUAUAAUCAUUUACUGUAUCCCACAGCAAAUUCAAGAUAGCGUUAAUUGAGGGAAAGUGAUUGCUAUACCAAGCAGCAAAGAUUUAACACAGUAGACCCUUGUGAAAUACGACUAUUGUACUAAGAAGAACUUCAUGAUAUCCAGCAGUGGAUUAUUCCUGGAGUGGAAUAAUCCCAUACACUGGCAGAGGUUGGGAACUGAAUGGCUGAGCUUUAGUGAAGGUGAUCUGGAGAUUGUGGUUGAUGCCUGAAUGAGUAUGAGUCAAGAGGCUGCUCUCACGGAAAAUAAUGCAAAAAGCACACUGAAUUACAUCAGAAAUGUGCUCAGAAUAUUUGGAGAAACUGUUGCCUCCUUUAUUUAUCUCUGGUGAGACCAGUUUUGAAUCUCCCAAGAUAUUAAGAACCUUAAAGAACCUAGUAAAGAUCUGUAGAUAUAGCCAGGAGAUUACGGCAUAUUACCUGCAGGAAGGUAGGGUUUGGCUGCACAGGCUAUUUCCACAUUCAGUUGUCAUUGGAAAGGGAAGAGCUCACCAGGGAAGAGAACUGUUUCAAAGACUCCAUAUAAGGGAACACUAACUGGGACAGAGAAUUCAGAUAAAUAUGCUAAGAAGAACAGGAAAGUCACAACCACUGAAGACUCUUGAUGGUACCUUGAGGGGAAUGCAUUGGAAAGAGGUAGCAAUAACUCAUAAAGCUUGUCAUUUUGCCAUAAGAACAGGCCAAGUAGAGCAAGAAGAAAUAACCCAAAGCACUGUUUACAGCACUAGAAUAAUUGCAUUUAAAAUGCCAAGCUGUGUUUAUUAGCUGGAAUAUAUCAGUUAAGUUCUUAUGGUUUCUAUCCUAAGAUGCAUGCAGGCAUGACACAUUUGUUUUUACUAUAUACUGGACUAAAUUGCCAGUAAUGGUCAGCAGCACUCAUAGCUCUACGGGCAUGAGUUCCCACUGUCUGUAGUCAAGAUGCUCUUGCUUUCAUUGUCUUUCUUCAAAUGGGUUGGUCACAAUUGUUAUUGAAUUAAAAAAGCAGCUAUUCAAAAGGCCUGAACAGCAAGGUUGUGUUUAGCUCUGUUCCCUUACUGAACUCUGCAGGUCUCUGCCAGAAUAACCGAGGAUUUAAUUUAGCUUUUCAUCACCCAGUGGUAAGAUAAAACAUGUGUGGAUGCAAGGCCACAAGUGUUUAAUAGCGUGUAGCAAAACUUUACAAAUCUGGGUAAUUAUUGUUCAUUUCUGCUGUUAUUACAUUGCUGGGCAGAGUUCAGGUUAAGAACCUUGCUUUGCUAAAAAUGAAUAUCAAGACAGAGCUUGUGCCAAAAAUGUUCAC